AUUGCGAUGGAACAUGUUGAGAAUCCUAUUGAGGGUAACAAUGGAACUCCUAUGAGGAGUAAGAGACAGAGGACUGCAAAGUCUUUUGGUGAUGAUUUCAUUGUGUACCUCAUGGAUGACACACCCAGGACUAUUACAAAAGCCUAUGCAUCUCCUGAUGCUGACUACUGGAAGGAAGCUGUACGUAGCGAGAUGGAUUCCAUCUUAGCUAACGGUACCUGGGAGAUCACUGACCGUCCUUAUGGGUGCAAACCUGUAGGAUGUAAGUGGGUGUUCAAGAAGAAGCUUAGACCUGAUGGUACGAUUGAAAAGUACAUGGCACGGCUUGUGGCCAAGGGUUAUACCCAGAAAGAAGGUGAAGACUUCUUUGAUACUUACUCACUCGUGGCUAGACUGACCACAAUUCGGGUGCUACUAUCACUGGCUGCCUCACAUGGUCUUCUCGUUCAUCAAAUGGACGUUAAGACGGCUUUCCUCAAUGGAGAGUUGAAGGAGGAAAUUUACAUGGAUCAGCCAGAUGGUUUUGUAGUACCUGGUCAAGAAGGAAAGGUUUGCAAGUUAUUAAAGUCUUUAUAUGGCCUUAAACAAGCUCCUAAGGAGUGGCAUGAGAAUUUCGAAAGAACAUUAACUGCUGCCGGCUUUGUAGUAAACGAUGGUGACAAGUGUGUGUACUAUCGCUAUGGUGGGGGCGAAGGAAUUAUUCUUUGUCUGUAUGUCGACGACAUAUUGAUCUUUGGAACCAAACUUGAUUUAAUCAAGGAGGUUAAGUAUUUCUUAUCUCGCUGUUUUGAGAUGAAGGAUCUAGGAGUAGCUGAUGUUAUCUUAAACAUCAAGCUGUUGAGAGAUGAGAAUGGUGGGAUCACACUGCUUCAGUCUCAUUAUGUGGAAAAGGUCUUGAGUCGUUUUGGGUAUAGCGACUGCACGCCUUCUCCAACUCCAUAUGAUGCUAGUGUUGCCACGAGGCCUGACAUCUCUUUUGCUGUGAGCAAACUGAGUCGGUUUGUGUCAAAACCGGGAGAUGAUCAUUGGCAUGCGCUUGAGAGAGUUAUGUGCUAUUUGAAAGGCACCGCGAGCUAUGGGAUUCACUACACCGGGUAUCCAAGGGUACUAGAGGGUUAUAGUGACUCAAACUGGAUAUCUGAUGCUGAUGAUAUUAAGGCCACAAGUGGUUAUGUUUUUACACUUGGUAGUGACACUGCCACUGUUGAAGCAGAGUGGCUUCGUGAACUCUUGAUGGACUUACCUAUGGUUGAAAAACCGAUACCCCCUAUCCUGAUGAACUGUGAUAAUCAAACUGUGAUCGUCAAGAUAAACAGUUCUAAGGACAAUAUGAAGUCCUCAAGGCAUGUGAAGAGGAGACUAAAAUCUGUCAGAAAUUUGAGGAACUCCGGAGUUAUUACGUUGGAUUAUAUCCAAACGUCGAAAAACUUGGCAGAUCCCUUCACAAAGGGUCUAUCACGUAAUGUGAUAGAUAAUGCAUCGAUGGAGAUGGGUUUGAGACCCACC
This 1506-nucleotide ribosomal RNA is filed under the name Triticum aestivum (bread wheat). RNAcentral describes it as "partial small subunit ribosomal RNA". The record is from RNAcentral. Lineage: Eukaryota; Viridiplantae; Streptophyta; Magnoliopsida; Poales; Poaceae.